AAUGAGUGUGAGCAGUUAUGGGUCGGGUGCAGGAGCCAAAAGAAAACUGAGGUACUCUCUCCGUCCACAAAUAAGUGUACAUACAGGUAUUUCAAGACAAAUUAUGAAAUAAGGUAAAAAUGCAUUGGUAAUAUGCCAACUACCAACUCUCUCCUCUUUAAUUCUUUUAACUCCAAUGAGCUAAGUGCAUGAAGACAUUAUUGGGUUUGGUUUCCGUGUAAUGAGAGAGAAACAUUUCUUUUACUCUAAAGUGCUUUGAAAAGAGAAAUACGAAACAAAUUUUAAAGCUAAACGUACACUUAUUUGUGGACGGAUGGAGUAUAUUAUGAAAUAAACGAAAAAAAAUAUGAGGUGUUUUGUGGAUCUCACUUAUUUGUGGACGGAG
RNAcentral lists this long non-coding RNA (385 nucleotides) under Brachypodium distachyon (stiff brome). RNAcentral describes it as "long non-coding RNA (BDIS_LNC005072)". Lineage: Eukaryota; Viridiplantae; Streptophyta; Magnoliopsida; Poales; Poaceae. The record is from RNAcentral.